This 703-nucleotide unclassified non-coding RNA is filed under the name Hevea brasiliensis (rubber tree). The record is from RNAcentral. Lineage: Eukaryota; Viridiplantae; Streptophyta; Magnoliopsida; Malpighiales; Euphorbiaceae.
GAAAAAAUUGAAAAGUUCUUAACAUAAAUGUAAUUAUGUACUUAUGAACCUUAAGAAGGGGAAAAAAAGUUGAAGAGUUAGUACUGUAAUUAUGAGUAUGUUAUAUGUCUAUUGCUGGCUCUUUCCGAUACAGAGGGAAUGAAAGUUGCAGUUAUGCAAUAUGAAGCUAACUGAGUCAUAUCUUCAUGUGCUUUCUUUUUAGAGCUUGAGCAAGUUUAUUAUCUUAAUUUAACGCACUACCCAUUGAUGGACCAUAGAGGAAUUUUUGGGAAAGUGCAAUUGAAAGGGAUUAUACUGCUUUCAAGAAACUAUUUGGCUUUGAUUAGCAUUCUGAUUAAAGUUUGGUCCAUCUGUUGUCAUAACACACAUCUGGUUGUGAAAUGUUCCAUGUGAUGGUCAUGCACAAAUAUGCUUAUUCUAAAAUUGUAAAGCACUUAUGCUAUUCAUGGUUUGCUUAGUACUAAUUUAAAAUCCUAUGACAGAAGCAGUAAUUAAGACAAAUAUUUGUUUCUACAUCAUAUGUAUCAGAUAUUAAUGGUUAAUAAAAUCUGAACGUCUGUAGCCUUUAUGCCUGUCUUGCCGUAUAAGUAGCAUGUGCUAUGUUUGAUUGUAAAGUCAGAUUAGAAUCAUCUUUCUCCUGAGACAAAACUGAAGGAAGCUUUUCAUGUUUGCACAUCAGGUUGAGAUUUACUUUGCCAUACCU